This is a small nuclear RNA of Sciurus vulgaris (Eurasian red squirrel), 107 nucleotides long. The record is from Ensembl. NCBI's taxonomy places the organism in Eukaryota, Metazoa, Chordata, Mammalia, Rodentia, Sciuridae.
GUGCUCCCUUCGGCAGUACAUACACUAAAAUUGUAACAAUACAGAGAAGAUUAUCACGGCCCAUGGACAAGGAUGACACAAAAAUUCGUGAAGCAUUCCAUAUUUUU